UACGAAGGGGGCUAGCGUUGCUCGGAAUCACUGGGCGUAAAGCGCACGUAGGCGGAUUGCUAAGUCAGGGGUGAAAUCCUGGAGCUCAACUCCAGAACUGCCUUUGAUACUGGUGAUCUUGAGCCCGGGAGAGGUGAGUGGAACUGCGAGUGUAAAGGUGAAAUUCGUAGAUAUUCGCAAGAACACCAGUGGCGAAGGCGGCUCACUGGCCCGGUACUGACGCUGAGGUGCGAAAGCGUGGGGAGCAAACAGG
RNAcentral lists this ribosomal RNA (253 nucleotides) under uncultured bacterium. RNAcentral describes it as "partial 16S ribosomal RNA". It matches the Rfam family "Bacterial small subunit ribosomal RNA", at positions 524 to 776 of the family's 1533-position model. The record is from RNAcentral.